AGAAGAUUUUACUCCAUAAUUAAGUUUGGAGUCAAAAAUGGAGUAGGGUUGGAGAUGCCCUAAGUGGGUGACGUGGAUAACUUGACACUCGUUAGUUUCUCGGUUAUUACAUUUUGAAAACAAAAGAAGAUUUUUUUUUAUUAACCUAAAAAGAGACAUGUCAGUGUAACGUUACCUCUGUAUUACUGUAUUCCAUGUGGUGUUAAGGAAUAUUCGAUCAUUUUUUCUUUGUAUUUAUAUUAAGGGAUAUGUAUCCCACAUUGGAAAAUCAAUGGGACAUUAAGUAAUAUAUAAAGGGUUAGGGCCAAUCCACUAAUUGCCAAUUGGUUUUGAGUUGGAAGCCCAUAAUAAACCCGAUUCUAACAUGGUAUCAGAACCCAGAUCCUAAUAAGUUAAACCCCUAAUUAAUAUUAACCCUAUCCGACCGGGUAUAUAGGUCGUAAUUGACUCGCUCGACCGAGUAUAACUGUCUUAAAAAAAAAAAAAAAAGUUUCCGAGAUUUCUGGCUGAUAAGAGCCAUCAUCUCGAGGAGGGGUAUUAAGGGAUAUGUAUCCCACAUUGGAAAAUCAAUGGGACAUUAAGUAAUAUAUAAAGGGUUAGGGCCAAUCCACUAAUUGCCAAUUGGUUUUGAGUUGGAAGCCCAUAAUAAACCCGAAUCUAACAUGGUAUACAUAUCCCUUAAUAAUUUAUGACCCACAUUUGGGUCCAAACGAUUGGAUGUUCAUCCUACGGUCCUACCUACAUGUCCACAAUAUAUACAAAAAAUACAUGGAUCAAACUGAUAACAUUUGUAUUUUACAAGGGUCAACAAGCUUACUCUUUAGAUUUCUGUGCAAGAAUACAUGUAAAUUUUUUCUUACAAAAUUUUACAUGCAUGGGUUAUUUGACCCACAUGCCACUAUGGUAGCUCCCCCACUAUCAGUCGUACUUGAAGUUCGUAAGUAACGUUAGCUGAAGUGUUUAAUUUUAAUCCAAAUGACGUGC
This 984-nucleotide long non-coding RNA is filed under the name Brassica rapa (field mustard). Its description in RNAcentral is "long non-coding RNA (BRAP_LNC003762)". Lineage: Eukaryota; Viridiplantae; Streptophyta; Magnoliopsida; Brassicales; Brassicaceae. The record is from RNAcentral.